UUGGUUCGGGAUGGGCCCUGUGCUGGGCAGGUUGUCUCCGCGCUCGGCCUCUGGUGCCUGACCCAUCAGUGAGGAAGCCGUGGCGUGACGUGAUGAGCCUCGGUUUCUUCACCAUUAAAUGGGGGCUGAGGAAACCUCCCCCGCCGAGAUGUCACACAUGCCGGAUGAACCGCAACGCCCUGCACACAGCGGGUGCUGGGGCACCUGGAGGUCCCUCAGGACCUCCCAGCCCUAGGAGCCCAGCCUGGGACCCAGCCUUCCUGUGGGAAUCCGCCUGUCGCACGCCUGUCUCUGUAGUCGCCAGGAUGGACAUACCUUGGCCAGGCUUGGAGGAUGAGAAAAUUGGCUUCUCCUGAAUUUGGGGAAGGGCUAGAGAUGAGGGCGCUCCUCUCUGAGGAGCCCAGAAAGUCCCAAACAGCUGACCCCAGGGUCCCUGUUCUGUGGCCUCCUUGUGUGUGUCAGUGGUGGGGGGCUGCAGGGGCCCCCGAAUCUCCAUGGAGGGAAUUCCCAGUGUGGCUGGCCAGCCGGGGACUGGACGGGGGGCUCAGGAAGAGGUUCUAGCAAGAAGAGGCAGGUAACAGCCCACCUCUGGCUUCCCAGGGGCCUGUUUCUGGAAACUUCAGCUCCUGUGUGCCCACCCACAUCACACAAGGGAUGCUGGGGAAGGGACACUGGUGGCACUGCUUGGCAGGAGGAAGAGCUGGCUUUGUCUUGUCCAGACUGUUUUAAAACAAAAAAUGGUCCAUAAUGCAGUUUUAAAAGAAAAAAAGGAGCUGGUUAUGAAAUAGAAGGUAUAAGUGAAGUUUAUAUGUAUAUAGUGAAAAACUGACUGGACAGGCUGACAGGGCUGUGUCCUAAAUUAUAGGCUUGAAGCUGGAGUUUUCUUUUCUCCUUUGUGCCUGUCAAACUUCUUGGCAGUGAACUUGAUUUGCUUUUAUCAUCAGAAUAGCAGCAGUAAACACCACCAUCUUUAAACAACAGUACAUGAAGCCUGCGGUCUAGGCUCCAGCUGUGAGCAGAGGGCCACUGAGGGCGACUUCAGCGCUCCCCCUGCUCCCCAUGGAUGGUGACCCGCAGGCAGGGCUGAGGCCAGGGCCACCCCUUGGGAACGGUGAGAGCUGGUUUCGUGUCCCUCAGGCCACGGUGGACGCCUCCUCCCCUCUUGCCUGAGGGGUCAGAUCCAGACCUCUUCCAUCCCCCAGUCCUGAGGGCUCCUGAGGUCCUGCCAGCCACCUUGCUGGCCCACUGGCGUAACUGUGGCUUUGUCCCACCCCCACCAGGGGGCCCACUCCCCGCCUGCCGGGAACUGGGCCAGGCGGGCGGACGGACGCGGUGACAAGCAGCUGUGACGUCUCCCCACUUCCUUCUACCUUCCCUGCUGCUGAGUCAGGGUCCCUUUGGGGACAGAAGGCGGGAUGUGGCAGGACGCUGGGCAGCCCCCAAGGACUAGGCAGGCUUCAAAGAGAGGAAGGAAGCUUCGAGGAAAAUCAGCGAAUAAGCAGAGACGGUCUGUGUCCCCAUGUGUCCCCGUGUCCCUGUCCUGGGCUUGGUUCUUUGCAGGGUCUCCUCUGGGACUGCGGCCACAAAGCCUGGCAGGCACCCCAGAUGGUCUCGUCUCAGAAGUACAGUCUCUUGACCCUUAGCAGAUCCCUCUGUUUGCUUGUGCCCUGACCCAAGCUCCUCGCAGCAGCUGUGACGUGACAGAUGACACUGGGAGCUGGCAGACACCGCGAGGUGGCACCUGAAGACCUCUGCUUAAUCUCACUGCCCGCAGAUGAGUCACGAUGGUGGUGAGAGUCCCAGUGGGCACAGGACACAUGUGCAGAGAUCUGGAGCCUGCGCUCAGCACCAGGCGUCGAGCAGCCGCAAGCCUCACCCGCAUCCCUGUCAGAGCGGAGCGGCAGGAGCGGCCGGAAUGGGCUGAUUUUCCAGCCGCUACUCAUCAAGGGUGGAGGCAGCCGGGCUGGAGCAGGAUGAAAACACGCUGGUGAUGGGUUCUCAGGUGCUGACGGGCGCGCGCGCUUGGGGAUUGCAUGACUCGGUGCCACCUCGACUGCUGGGUUUGCGGGGGCAUUAAAUGCACUUCUGCGCUGGAAUCCCUUGCGCCCUCUGAGGACGCAGUGGCAGCUGUUGCUCCUCCCCGGUCAGGGAGUGGGCACUGGGCACUGGGCACAGGCCGCUUAGUUUAAUGAGCUCAUGCUGUGCACAAACACAGGCAAAACUCACCAAGAACAGAGGUAAGUGGGGACAUGUGAAGCCUUGUGUCUGAAACCAGGGAGAUUCCAUGAAAUUUUUAUUAGAAUUGCCAAUCCUAGGCACCAGAGCCCUUAAAUCAAUUAGCUAACGAUUCCUGAAAUGCUUAAAAGAAGACAAAGGAACUGGACACUCCAUCUAGGAAUGCUGUGUAACAUGGCAGCCUUUGAAGGAAGCUGGCCUGGAGCAGCCUGCAGGCUGGGUCAGGCUCAAGCCCCGGGUCGGGAGGGGCUUUCAUGUCUAUGCUUUUUCCUCUUGGUGACUUGUUGCUGGCAGCUCCUGCUGAAGUCCUGAGGACGGGAGCCCCUUCUUCUCAUCCCCAAGGACAGACCCUGCUGGGGUGGCCCUCAGCCAGGCAGACACAGCUGCAACCCUGCCUGGUGCUGGUGUGGCACUGGCCAGGCAUUUAGUGGUGCACGGUGUCGGUCAUCAGCAAUGUGGUGCCGGGGAGGCCAUGGGGACUCAGACACACUCUGCUGUCAGGGAGCUCAGGGUUAAGGCGGCAGUGCCGUGGGGAGGGGCCAGGGCUGGAAUGGGCACCCAGAGGAGGCCUCACUGUACGCCCUGCGUCCCUGAGAGGCUAGAGCUGGCAAAGGAGAAGGAAGCGGCUGUCCUGUUACAGCACCUGUCCAGCCCGGACUCCGAGCUCACAGACACCCUGGAACUCCCAGAGAUGCAGGGGAUGGAGCCGAGGGACUGUGACAAGGGCUGAACCCAUUUCCUUGGGACUGGGUGGCCAGUGAGCCCUUCCCUGACCCUCAUGCCUCCUGCGGUCAAGGGGGGCUCCUACAUCAGCUUCCUCCCUGGCAGGGAGCCCAGAAGAAGCCCUCUGUGCCCUAAACUCUCCUUUCUUGUUCAAUUGGCAUAAUGCUCUGCCCAGACCAGCUUUGUGCCUUCUGCACCCAGUGCUGGAGACUGCACUGCCCUCUGGCCAAAAAGCCUAACCACCCAAACAGAGAAACAAAGCUCUGGUGCAAAGAGAGCCUGGGCAGCCUUCCUGUGGAGCUGGCUCUUGGGGAGUGAGGUGGGUCCGUCCCCAGGAGAGGGGUCCUCCUCAGGACUCUACCUUCCUGGCCUGAGGCCCAGCGCUGUGUCUGUUGGGUGGGUGGAGCCCACGGAGAACUUACCCUGCACGCACAAACACACAUGUGCUCAGGGAUGUAGGACAAGGGCAGUCAUUUCGGCACUGUUUGCUUUAGAAAAGAUUAGAAAUAACCUGCUUGUCCAAUAGUGGGGGAUGGAUAAUUCUGGGCACCUGCUCAGAGCCCUUAAAAAGGAGAGGUUUCUUGGGGUGUGCUCACAGGAUGAGGGCAGGUCCUGCACCCCAAAGUGGGCCCUUUGCCCAUCCCCCAGAGGCAGCUACAAACGCCCGGGUGGGCAGCCUGUAUCCCUCAGAGCCCUGCCCCAGGCUGGCUCAGGACCCUCCUUGCAUUGCUCCAUUCCUGGCCUGGCACUGGAGCUGGGGCUCAGGAGUGAGGUGAAGAGGGAAGAUUCGAGAGCCAGUGGGCCUGCCAACCCCAGCUGUACGGCCUCGAGUGACCCACUCACCCCAGUUUCCAACCCAUCUGUAAAAUGGGGACAAUUUGCCUACCUCACAGGUGAGACGAGCAGCUGGUACACAGAGCAGGUGUUCAGUAAAGGUGAAGGCGACUUAAGCUUUGUCCAGGGGGAAGUACAGGGGUGCAGACCAGAGGCAGGGCUGGGUGGCAGAGGCGCCCUGCGCUGUCUGCAGGGAGGCGCAGUGGCUCAGCUGUGGCAGCCUGCUACCUGCCGUGUGCUUGUUAGGGGCACAACCCAGCUCCCCGCCGCCCCCACAGCAGCCAGGGUGCAGUUGAGGGAAAGUUCCCGCCACGGUUUCCUGACAGCGGUGACAGCCCCAGCCUCACCCCCGCCUGCCCUGAGAGUCACCAGCACCACCGGGUGCGGCGACCUCAGCUCACUGCCGGCUGCUGGGGGCUCAGUGUGCUCACAGAGGGUAUGAUCUGGGGGAGCGUCUGUGGGAGCAGGUGGAUGGUGGGGAGGGCGUCCCACUCAGCAGGCCCGGGACCCUGCCCUGCCCACAACCCUCCGGGUGCCUGACGACCUCGUGGCUCCCCGCAGACCCUCAGCUGGCUCCAGACUGAGCCUCCGGCUUCCCAGGAAAGAGCCGUGAGGAAGACUACCACGUCCCUGUUUUUGAGAUGAGGAAGCAGCCAGAGGAAGCAGCCAGGACAAGGGCCUGGCUGAGGCUGCCCAGCUGGGAAGAGGCCAAGGCCCAGUCUCCAACACUCGCCUUCCUGCCUCCCCUUGCUAGCAGGGCACUGGGCCUCAGGGGUGGGCAGAGCCCCCAGUGGCAGCAGGUGCUCACAGCCAGGGCAGUCAGGGGGGGCUUCCAGAGGGGAGCUUGGGACCUGGGGGUGAGGCAGGAGGGCAGGUAGGUCUUCUGGUGGAGGAGAAAGCAUGUGCAAAGGCCAGGCAGUGUGGACAAGGGUGGAUUAGCCAGUGGUUAGAGUGAGGGUGCAAAUGGAGAGAGCCAGGAGUCAGGGCUCCACUCAGGAGGUGGGAGUGGGAGACGAGGCCUGUGGAGUCAGAUGGGGCUGGGGACCCCUCAGUGUGCAGGGAGACAGCCUUGGCUGGGUCUGUUCCAGACAGUGUCAAGGCCUGGCUGGGUCCCCAGCGGCCCGGGCCCAGUCCCAGCUAGAAUGGGCUGGUCUCAAGGGCUCAGGAUCCCAGGGCAGGGGCAGGAACCUCUGGGCAAGAGGCGCUCGAUUGGUUCUUCCAGCUGAGAGAAGCCAAAUUCCCUGGGACCAGGCUCCAGAUGCCUGGGUUGGGACCUGCAGGGACUUUGGGUCCUCACACUAUCUUCCCGAAACACCUUAUUUAUGCUAAAGUGUCAAUGACUCAAAUGCAAUGUACUGGUAUGCAGUGCUGGCUGUUGGAAGACUCUGAGGUAUGUGUGAAAGCAACGGCCAUUGUGUUGUUUUUAUAAAGAUGACACUCGCUCCUUCUCAAGCAAAACAGGACAAGGGAUGCAGAAAAGUACAAAGAAGGGAGCAACCCCCCACCCCACCCCCACCCACUCCCCUUUACAAUACCUGCUUCCUGAGGGCAGGACUUUCUUCUACUCUGUUCUCUGCUGUAUUCCCAGCACCUGGGACUUCCUGGCACAGAGCAGAUGCUUAACAGAGACCACCAUCCAAUGUUAACAUCUGGUGCAAGUCAUCUGUACACAGAGAACUUCGGAGAGAUGAAGAGCUAUGGAGAGAAAGUUCACCGUGACAUCCACGUUUCUCUCCAUGCUAUUAGUUUGCUCCUGGAGACACGGUGGCUGGGUGUUGGGUACGCAGCGGUCCUGCCUGGUCCUCCCUGUGCCGCCUCCCCCCUGCAAGCCCUCCGCAUCUCCUCCUGUCACUCUGGGAUGGUCUCUUCUGUGUGCCUUUUUAUGUCAUAUUCACACGAGCUCUUCUCUGUCCUGAAGCGGCAAGUUUCCAGGAAGCUGCCUUCGAUCCUGGCUCCUGUCCGCAUUUGGCUCGGGCCCUCAUGGGACUUCCUUCCGGCUCCCAGCCCUCAACAGGCCACCAGCCCUCGUCAGUUCUUCCCAGCUCGCCUGAUUACCUCGGGUGGCACCUGCACUCAGACCUUCUACCCAUUCGGGUGCAGGAACCAGUCGGCCUCCCCUCAGAAGUUCAGUUUGAGGCCCGAGGCGGCCUGAUGCGUGAGGAGGGGGCCCCGGGGACCAUUGCUGUGGAGACCGUCUGUCUGCCUCGUGUUUGUUGGGUGGUUCUUUCCAUCGACAGCCCGACGUUGUGCGUCAUUUCGUCAGGUACUGGGGGAAGGGGCCUGUGCCCUCCCUCACUCUGCUUUCUAAAAUCUGAACCCCUCUCCUAGGCAGCCUCUCUGAGCUGCAAAUCCCCUGGUCCUGCCCGUCCAGACGCCCAGAGAGGCUCCGUUUCUGUGGGCCUGGGUGGGACUUCCCCCUCCCCACCCAGAGCCGCGUGGGUGUCCAGGCCUGGGGGUGAGAGCUGCCGAGCCAUUCGCCAGGGCCCUGCGCGUUCCGGCCAAAUCACAGGGAUGGGUCUCCAAUUAUGUAAAAUCAUGUGGCACUGAGCACUGCAGCUCUGGAAUGUCUGAGUGGGUGGGCAAACCGGAUCAUUCAUGGUAUCGGAGAGGCCUCUGUGGCCAGGAGAGGGGAGGGAAGUGACUUGCCUGAGGUCACACAGCCAGUCAACAACAGACAAGUUCGAAGAACUGGAAACACCAGUCCCAGAUCUGGGGCCUGGGCAUUGGGGUAGCCCCCUCAGAGGGCAGGAAGACCUUUGUCUUUGGCAUGAGGAGCCCCUUGCCCACCUCUGGGCCUUGCACAAGAAAUGGUUGUGGCCCUGCCCCUGAACUUUGGUUGGGAGCUUCUGUGGGGUUGGAGGCUAUCCCGGGAGGCACAUACCAAGUCAGCCCUCUCAGGAGAGUGACCCUGCGUCCCCUCGUGGUGUCCCCACCCCAUUCACCCACUGCCCUGGGAGCCAUGCUCUCGGCAUGAGCCCAGGGCUUGGUAACAACCUCAGGCCAGGAGGCAGGCUGAGCAGUCCUGGGGAGGAAGGUAGAGAAUCUGGAAUUAGGGCCAGAGAGGGGUGGAUCAGGCCUGAGAGGGUCCCCCAUCUGCCUGGGGAGGGGUGGCCGGAGUCGGGACAUGACCGGCAGUACAGCUUGACCGUCUCACCGAGAUGCUUGGGGUGUCCUGGGUGUUGUCGCCCAUCCAGCCUGGUGAUAUCAGGCAGCCUGGGAAUCCAGGGUCCACGCCUUCCUUCCUCCACGGCCCUCCUGGCUCAGCUGCCACAGGAAAAUCGCAGGACUCUGUGCACAGGGCUGUGGUGAGGGUUCAUGCCUGUAAAAGCACACAGGAAGCAGAGGCUCUCAGGAAUGGAGCUGCUAAGCCCAAAAUAGACCCAUUCCAUGAGGUUACAAGGAACGUCUCACUGGAGUCUCACCAGUCACCAUAAAGCUGCGAUUUAAUUUCUCUCUGCGACAUUCUGAUCCUUCCCUGCUAACCCCCCAUCCCAUGCCAUCCUGGAGUCCCUGCUAAAGUUCAAUUCCAGCCCUCUUACCAGAA
Molecule: RNA transcript, 7336 nt
Organism: Manis pentadactyla (Chinese pangolin)
Lineage: Eukaryota; Metazoa; Chordata; Mammalia; Pholidota; Manidae
Exons: 5
Source: RefSeq, a predicted model, not a curated record